RNAcentral lists this small RNA (125 nucleotides) under Cyanothece sp. RNAcentral's name for it is "Guanidine-I sequence". It matches the Rfam family "Guanidine-I riboswitch aptamer". From Rfam's summary of the family: This family represents a conserved RNA structure found upstream of the ykkC and yxkD genes in Bacillus subtilis and related genes in other bacteria. The function of this family is unclear although it has been suggested that it may function to switch on efflux pumps and detoxification systems in response to harmful environmental molecules. Lineage: Bacteria; Bacillati; Cyanobacteriota; Cyanophyceae; Gomontiellales; Cyanothecaceae. The record is from RNAcentral.
AGGAAUGGCUUCUAGGGUUCCGGUUAUCUGUGCAGUUAAUGUCUGGUCCAAGAGAAGCAGCCGAUUUUUAAUCUCAGAAGCGUGAACAAAAAUCGGUGACACGGCGGGAAAAAAGCCCGGGAGAG